Molecule: ribosomal RNA, 243 nt
Filed under: uncultured bacterium
Lineage: Bacteria
Description: partial 16S ribosomal RNA
Rfam family: Bacterial small subunit ribosomal RNA
Source: RNAcentral
GAUCCUGGCUCAGAUUGAACGCUGGCGGCAGGCUUAACACAUGCAAGUCGAACGGUAACAGGAGAGAGCUUGCUUUCUUGCUGACGAGCGGCGGACGGGUGAGUAAUGCUUGGGAAUCUGGCUUAUGGAGGGGGAUAACGACGGGAAACUGUCGCUAAUACCGCGUAGAGUCGAGAGACGAAAGUGCGGGACCGCAAGGCCGCAUGCCAUAGGAUGAGCCCAAGUGGGGAUUAGGUAGUUGGG